Gallus gallus (chicken) is the source of this 831-nucleotide long non-coding RNA. RefSeq lists it as uncharacterized. Lineage: Eukaryota; Metazoa; Chordata; Aves; Galliformes; Phasianidae. The record is from RefSeq and is a predicted model, not a curated record. The transcript has 4 exons.
AGCCUCCUAGGGAGGAAGAAGAUGGCAUAAUGAACCUCCUCAGUCAAACUAAACUCAGGAGCACAGGAUCUUCCUUGGUAAGUGCUCUCACCACUGGUUUGGAGAGUAAAGCAAGAGCUCUAGCGGAAGCACUCCUCAAUACUUCGAGCAAACAGAGGGCUGAUGGGAAGAUUGACAACGUCAGGCAACUAGGGGUUUCCUGAGAGAUUUCUGUACAGAGAAGCUCAGACACAGCUGCUGAAAGACGAGGAUGAAGGUUCAGAUGAGCAGAGUAAGAAUGCAGCCAUGCAGAGCAUCUCCAGACUUCCGUCAAGCUCUGCUCAGCCAAUGUACCAUGCUUGGACAAACAUGGUGCAGUUGCCAAUUGAUCUGUCAUAUUGUGGUUUUCAAAGAUGAACUGAGAAUGCUGUGAAAGGAGCUUGCUGUUGAAGAGCUGCCGAAAGACCUGGAGUAGGGACUUACAUUUUCAGCGUGGCUAACUUUCACUGACAUUGAAGAUGUCUCACUCAGAAGAUCAUCAAACCCAUGUUUUCUCUUCCUCUUCAGCAGACAAAGCUUCAUUCAUUUGAUGUGGAGAAGCUGAAGAAACUAAUUUUCUUCUUGAAAUAAGUGUGAAUUCUUUUUAUCUAGUGAUUUAACAACUCCUGACAAUGCUUACAUUUCACUUCAGAAAAAUUAGCUGUUUUCCUAAGUUCAGUCUUUCACUAAGUCUUUUAGUAUUCCCUUUCUCAACUCAGGCUAAUAUAGAAAGAAGUUAUGUAAUAGCUUCUUCAAAAUGACCUAUCAGUUGUACUAAUAAAAAAAAAACUUUCACAUUUACUACAAUUAGCA